GCUGAAAUGGCCUCAUAAUCCAGACUUCAAUUGUGCUUUUAUUAACAUUUCCCAGUAAUCCAUUAUAACUCACUGUAAUUCACCUCCACACCAGUGUGUGCGCUGUUCGCGCCCUGCUGGUUAAUCUGCUCCACGGUCUCUCUCUAUCACUCUGCCCCGCCCUCACUGCUUCCAUUUGAAAAAAAUCGGCGGGACAUGGGAGAUGAGUCUGAGAGUUAGAGCAAAAACUUCCGAAAUAUGGGAAUAUUUCAGGCCAACUGGUAAAAGAGUUGUCGGUACACUCUCCAAAGAUGCGCUCACAGAAAAGAAGAAGACAACGAAGCAGUCGCCGUCUUCACAACUCUGAGAUAAACUGUAGCAGGCGCUACGAACCAGAGCAAGGACUAACCUCGCCUCAUAACGAGGCUGUAACCUAUAUUUGCUCAGAGCUGUCUGCAAGUCCAGAUUUACAUGACGCUGAUAAUGACGCCGUUGUGUCUAACUGCCUGUAAGACAUAUUACGAGACAGCAUGCAGGAGCUUCAGCUAGAAACAACCAGAUGUGGCAUCGCGGGCAGAAGCUGUGAAGAGUUCAGCUCGGAGUCGGUCGAGAA
This is a long non-coding RNA of Perca fluviatilis (European perch), 592 nucleotides long. RefSeq lists it as uncharacterized. The transcript is spliced from 4 exons. NCBI's taxonomy places the organism in Eukaryota, Metazoa, Chordata, Actinopteri, Perciformes, Percidae. The record is from RefSeq and is a predicted model, not a curated record.